AUAGAGGGUCUUCCGGAGUUUGCAGAAGAAUACUUCAGAAGAGGACUUAUGCAUUCAGGAGAUGUACUCUCAGAGGGGAAUCUGUAGCUAAAGAACACACCUGCACCGUGCAUCCCAGACUCAUUCAAGACUCUUUUCAUUGAUGGAAGAAUUGAAUGUGGCCCUCACGUCCUGGUCAAAGCCCGUGACUCUGGAACUUUCAGGAGAGAAACAUCACAGAAGCAGCAAAUGGGAGUAUGUUUUCACACGUGGUUACACAUUGGGUUUUUGUACCGAUGAAUCCCCGUGGGAGAAGUUUGAAUUAAAGAGUUGCAGGUAUGUGUGGCUGGCAGCUGCUCUCUUUGGAUAGAAGGGAGAGGGAGGAUGAGGGUGACCUUCAAUAUGCAGAGGGCCAAGAAAUAUCAGAAUGAGGACACCUGGGUUGGCACAUGAGUUUUGUCAGGUUUUUUUUAAAGUCUGAGAACGGCCAAGUUCCAUCUCACUUAUUUCCAGAUACAGUUGCCCUACAAUAUUCUAGUUUCUCAGGAACAUCCUGCAAGAGAUGAGUAUGAGUCUUGUGUGACUGGCGCCUUUGCUUACCACUUUCAGUAAAAGUGGCGCAAGAUACACGGGUCUGUGGUGGUGUGAGCACCUCUCUGCUGGUGGGGGCAAUCCAGCUGGACAUGCAGUGUAUUAAUUGUGCACUUGUGCUUCUAGCUACAGUUACUGCACCAUCCUUGAGCUUUGAGGACCCCUUCUUGCUUGGAGCAAGCUGAGCUUUCCAGUCAACAGAGGCACUGUCUGCAUAUAUUCAUUCUUCAGGUCUCAACAGCCCCUCUGGAGUUAGUGCCAGGAAUAUUUUCCUGUUACAAGUAGGAACAAGAGAUAUUUUCUGGGGACAUGGUUGUAGAGCUGCAGAUAGCACUUGGGGUACAUUAUUCUGAAUCUGUCAGUCAGCUUUUUAUGCAACAAAUCAGAUGUUAUAGACAUUGAGGUACCUGCCUCCAUUCACUGGUCAAGGCCUUGCAGACCACAAACUGUUAUAUUCUCACCUUAAAACAAGAGAAAAAAAAUUGUAUUGAGAAUGCAUGAGUGGACAUUCCACUAGCAGAAAAACAGAUUACCUCUCCACCAAGCAGACUCCGAUCCCCAGGACUCUGAAAGCAACCUAGAAUGACAUUUUUUUUUGUUUCUGAUAGCUGGGAAUUUGAGAGGGCUGAAUGACUGAGGAGGGAGCAAUGGGUAAAGUUAUCUCCCUUUUUUCUUAUUCUUUUUUUCUUAUAUGAGCAUCACACAGCAGGCUGCUGAAACAGGCUUCUUCAAAGUCAUUAUAGCAAAUGCAGAUUACGUAUCUCACACAGCAGGCAGCU
This 1349-nucleotide long non-coding RNA is filed under the name Struthio camelus australis. Its description in RNAcentral is "lncRNA (ENSSCUG00000009439.1)". The record is from RNAcentral. Lineage: Eukaryota; Metazoa; Chordata; Aves; Struthioniformes; Struthionidae.